GGACGCGGUGCUAUUCGAGUUUCUGCACACCGAGAUGGUGGCGGAGCUGUGGGCCCCGGACCCGGACCCAGGCUCGGGGGUGAGCGGCACGCCGUGGCCUCGGGGUGGAGAAGUGGGGUGUGAUCGAGCCUUAUGGCAGGUCAUUGCUGAGGCGGAGCGAGAUGACUUGGGUCAAGGCGCUCAGUUCUAGGCCUCGUCCUGGGGCGCCGUUGAUAAUUAGGGUAAUUGGCUGUUAUUGGGCUCAGAUGAGGGCUCGCCUCACCACCCACUUAGUAUGCAACUCAACAUCUUUAAUCUUCCUAUCCUUCCGUUUCCUCCUUAGAAAAUGCACCCUCAACCAUACCCGGUCUCAUCUGUCCCCUCUGCCUGUGUGCUGGAUAAAGUGCGUGCUGAUCGCGCUACACCCCAGCACACAGUGAGUUUUUUAGUAUGGAUUUGCCCCUGUAAUGAGUAAAGACCCCACCCGGUAAUGUGGAAGGUGGCGCUGGGAUCACUGAAAUAUUGUAAUCAAUAAUAGUUACCACCACUUAUGUGUUCCUUUGUGCCUUCCUGUGUGUCAUACUCCCAUCCACCUCCCAUUGUCUUCCUUCUCAUCCUAGGGAGGUCAUGAAGAAGCUGCUUUGUGCAGAGGCACAUGCUCUGGGAAGGAGGGAGCCUGCUUCCUCUCUGCUCUGUGUCACCUUGACUCUAAUAAAGAGAUU
Molecule: long non-coding RNA, 701 nt
Filed under: Mus musculus (house mouse)
Lineage: Eukaryota; Metazoa; Chordata; Mammalia; Rodentia; Muridae
Description: long non-coding RNA chr7:19508753-19509454
Source: RNAcentral